This 351-nucleotide unclassified non-coding RNA is filed under the name soil metagenome. RNAcentral's name for it is "partial contains 5.8S ribosomal RNA, internal transcribed spacer 2, and large subunit ribosomal RNA". The stretch from base 1 to 120 matches the Rfam family "5.8S ribosomal RNA", at positions 35 to 154 of the family's 154-position model. The record is from RNAcentral.
GAUGAAGAACGCAGCGAAAUGCGAUAAGUAGUGUGAAUUGCAGAAUUCAGUGAAUCAUCGAAUCUUUGAACGCACAUUGCGCCCGCCAGUAUUCUGGCGGGCAUGCCUGUUCGAGCGUCAUUACAACCCUCAGGCCCCCGGCCUGGCGUUGGGGAUCGGCAGAGCCCCCCGUGGGCACACGCCGUCCCCCAAAUACAGUGGCGGUCCCGCCGCAGCUUCCAUCGCGUAGUAGCUAACACCUCGCGACUGGAGAGCGGCGCGGCCACGCCGUAAAACACCCAACUCUUCUGAAGUUGACCUCGAAUCAGGUAGGAAUACCCGCUGAACUUAAGCAUAUCAAUAAGCGGAGGA